CACGUAGGGUGCAAGCGUUGUCCGGAAUUAUUGGGCGUAAAGAGCUCGUAGGCGGUCUGUUGCGUCGGCUGUGAAAACCCGGGGCUCAACCCCGGGCCUGCAGCCGAUACGGGCAGACUAGAGUUCGGCAGGGGAGACUGGAAUUCCUGGUGUAGCGGUGAAAUGCGCAGAUAUCAGGAGGAACACCGGUGGCGAAGGCGGGUCUCUGGGCCGAUACUGACGCUGAGGAGCGAAAGCGUGGGGAGCAAACAGG
RNAcentral lists this ribosomal RNA (253 nucleotides) under uncultured bacterium. Its description in RNAcentral is "partial 16S ribosomal RNA". It matches the Rfam family "Bacterial small subunit ribosomal RNA", at positions 524 to 776 of the family's 1533-position model. The record is from RNAcentral.